GCAAGUCGAACGAGAAAGCUUCUUCGGAAGUGAGUAAAGUGGCGGACGGGUGAGUAACGCGUAGGAAUCUACCUUUCAGUGGGGGAUAGCUCGGGGAAACUCGAAUUAAUACCGCAUAUACCCUUAGGGGGAAAGGGGGCCUCUCCUUGGAAGCUCUCGCUGUUAGAUGAGCCUGCGUGAGAUUAGCUUGUUGGUAAGGUAAUGGCUUACCAAGGCUACGAUCUCUAGCUGGUCUGAGAGGACGAUCAGCCACACUGGGACUGAGACACGGCCCAGACUCCUACGGGAGGCAGCAGUAGGGAAUAUUGGACAAUGGGGGAAACCCUGAUCCAGGCAUGCCGCGUGUGUGAAGAAGGCCUUAGGGUUGUAAAGCACUUUAAGUGAGGAAGAAAAGAUUCAAAUUAAUACUUUGAAUCCCUGACAUUACUCACAGAAUAAGGACCGGCUAACUCCGUGCCAGCAGCCGCGGUAAUACGGAGGGUCCAAGCGUUAAUCGGAAUUACUGGGCGUAAAGCGCGCGUAGAUGGUUUGUCUAGUUGGGUGUGAAAUCCCUGGGCUCAACCCAGGAACUGCAUUCAAAACUUAUAAACUAGAGUACGAAAGAGGAGAGCAGAAUUCAUGGUGUAGCGGUGAAAUGCGUAGAUAUCAUGAGGAAUACCAGUGGCGAAGGCGGCUCUCUGGUUCGAGACUGACAUUGAGGUGCGAAAGCGUGGGUAGCAAACAGGAUUAGAUACCCUGGUAGUCCACGCCGUAAACGAUGAGAACUAGCCGUUGGAUCUUUAGAUUCAGUGGCGCAGCUAACGCAUUAAGUUCUCCGCCUGGGGAGUACGGCCGCAAGGCUAAAACUCAAAUGAAUUGACGGGGGCCCGCACAAGCGGUGGAGCAUGUGGUUUAAUUCGAUGCAACGCGAAGAACCUUACCAACCCUUGACAUCCAGUGGAAGUUUUAGAGAUAAAACUGUGCC
RNAcentral lists this ribosomal RNA (964 nucleotides) under uncultured marine bacterium. Its description in RNAcentral is "bacterial SSU rRNA". It matches the Rfam family "Bacterial small subunit ribosomal RNA", at positions 57 to 1018 of the family's 1533-position model. The record is from RNAcentral.